GAUGAACGCUGGCGGCGUGCCUAAUACAUGCAAGUCGAGCGAACGGACGAGAAGCUUGCUUCUCUGAUGUUAGCGGCGUACGGGUGAGUAACACGUGGAUAACCUACCUAUAAGACUGGGAUAACUUCGGGAAACCGGAGCUAAUACCGGAUAAUAUUUUGAACCGCAUGGUUCAAAAGUGAAAGACGGUCUUGCUGUCACUUAUAGAUGGAUCCGCGCUGCAUUAGCUAGUUGGUAAGGUAACGGCUUACCAAGGCAACGAUGCAUAGCCGACCUGAGAGGGUGAUCGGCCACACUGGAACUGAGACACGGUCCAGACUCCUAAGGGAGGCAGCAGUAGGGAAUCUUCCGCAAUGGGAGAAAGCCUGACGGAGCAACGCCGCGUGAGUGAUGAAGGUCUUCGGAUCGUAAAACUCUGUUAUUAGGGAAGAACAUAUGUGUAAGUAACUGUGCACAUCUUGACGGUACCUAAUCAGAAAGCCACGGCUAACUACGUG
This 497-nucleotide ribosomal RNA is filed under the name uncultured bacterium. RNAcentral's name for it is "partial 16S ribosomal RNA". It matches the Rfam family "Bacterial small subunit ribosomal RNA", at positions 28 to 507 of the family's 1533-position model. The record is from RNAcentral.